CCUUAUGGUUGUAAAGCACUUUAAGCGAGGAGGAGGCUACUUUAGUUAAUACCUAGAGAUAGUGGACGUUACUCGCAGAAUAAGCACCGGCUAACUCUGUGCCAGCAGCCGCGGUAAUACAGAGGGUGCGAGCGUUAAUCGGAUUUACUGGGCGUAAAGCGUGCGUAGGCGGCUUAUUAAGUCGGAUGUGAAAUCCCCGAGCUUAACUUGGGAAUUGCAUUCGAUACUGGUGAGCUAGAGUAUGGGAGAGGAUGGUAGAAUUCCAGGUGUAGCGGUGAAAUGCGUAGAGAUCUGGAGGAAUACCGAUGGCGAAGGCAGCCAUCUGGCCUAAUACUGACGCUGAGGUACGAAAGCAUGGGGAGCAAACAGGAUUAGAUACCCUGGUAGUCCAUGCCGUAAACGAUGUCUACUAGCCGUUGGGGCCUUUGAGGCUUUAGUGGCGCAGCUAACGCGAUAAGUAGACCGCCUGGGGAGUACGGUCGCAAGACUAAAACUCAAAUGAAUUGACGGGGGCCCGCACAAGCGGUGGAGCAUGUGGUUUAAUUCGAUGCAACGCGAAGAACCUUACCUGGCCUUGACAUACUAGAAACUUUCCAGAGAUGGAUUGGUGCCUUCGGGAAUCUAGAUACAGGUGCUGCAUGGCUGUCGUCAGCUCGUGUCGUGAGAUGUUGGGUUAAGUCCCGCAACGAGCGCAACCCUUUUCCUUACUUGCCAGCAUUUCGGAUGGGAACUUUAAGGAUACUGCCAGUGACAAACUGGAGGAAGGCGGGGACGACGUCAAGUCAUCAUGGCCCUUACGGCCAGGGCUACACACGUGCUACAAU
RNAcentral lists this ribosomal RNA (824 nucleotides) under Acinetobacter baumannii. Its description in RNAcentral is "bacterial SSU rRNA". It matches the Rfam family "Bacterial small subunit ribosomal RNA", at positions 415 to 1231 of the family's 1533-position model. The record is from RNAcentral. Lineage: Bacteria; Pseudomonadati; Pseudomonadota; Gammaproteobacteria; Moraxellales; Moraxellaceae.